CACGUAGGGGGCGAGCGUUGUCCGGAUUUAUUGGGCGUAAAGAGCUCGUAGGCGGCUCGGUAAGUCGGGUGUGAAACCCCCAGGCUCAACCUGGGGACGCCACUCGAUACUGCUGUGGCUAGAGUCCAGUAGAGGAGUGUGGAAUUCCCGGUGUAGCGGUGAAAUGCGCAGAUAUCGGGAGGAACACCAACGGCGAAGGCAGCACUCUGGGCUGGAACUGACGCUGAGGAGCGAAAGCGUGGGUAGCAAACAGG
RNAcentral lists this ribosomal RNA (254 nucleotides) under uncultured bacterium. RNAcentral's name for it is "partial 16S ribosomal RNA". It matches the Rfam family "Bacterial small subunit ribosomal RNA", at positions 524 to 776 of the family's 1533-position model. The record is from RNAcentral.